RNAcentral lists this long non-coding RNA (1215 nucleotides) under Elaeis guineensis (African oil palm). RNAcentral describes it as "long non-coding RNA (EGUI_LNC058370)". Lineage: Eukaryota; Viridiplantae; Streptophyta; Magnoliopsida; Arecales; Arecaceae. The record is from RNAcentral.
UAUGUGUAUAUGUAUAUAUGUAUAUAUGUGUAUGUAUAUGUAUAUGUAUAUAUAUAUAUAUAUGUAUAUCUAUGUAUAUAUAUAUAUACACGUGUGUAUAUGUGUGCCUGUAUAUAUAUGCAUGUGUGUGUCUAUAUGUGUGUGUGUAUGUCUGUAUGUAUGUAUGCAUAUAUGUGUGUGUCGGUCUAUUUGUUUGUAUGUAUAUAUGUAUGUGUAUGUAUAUAUAUAUAUUGUUAGACGUAUGCCCUAGAGGUCAGAUUGACUGAUACAUAUACACAUUCUAAAGAUAUAAUUUUAUAAUUAAAUUUUGAAAUAAAUAAAAUUUUGAUUAUUUUUUAUUGAUGUUGUAUUUUAAUUGUGUUCAUGAAUCAUCCGAAGAAUUGACGAAUAAUAACACAUAUUCUCAAGAGUUGAAAAUUUGAGACAUGUCAUUCCUAAAUACUCCCGAUCGAUAAAUCGCCAUGGGAACGAUGAAUGAUCCGGAUAGAUCGAUGCAUAAAUUACUUCCUUUCCUGGGUAGAUGAGUCUCGAGUCGAUAAUAUGGGGAUACUGGAGCGAGAGUGCAGAUGCUUGAUAGAGAUCAAGGAUACUAAGCAUAACCAACAUGAGAAAUUACUAAGAUGGCUACCCACUCAUUAGUGACUUACUCAAAGUUACAAUGGCGUAGAUAGUUCUUUGACCUGUGGUGCCUCGACUGUUUACAGUGGGGUUACUGUAGUUUGACUGCACAAUCACUUGGUCACCUAGCCCUUCAGAACCUUGUAGUGUAUAUUGGCUACAGUAGAUCCAUUGUAGUCAUAGGGUAAGCACCUAAAAGGGAUCUAUCGAUCUUGAUAGAUAGAGAGAGGUCCUAUACAAUUUAUGAGACUGAGUCUUAAAAUCUAUGGCCAUGGUAGAUGAAUAAUAGAAAGGAGUUUCCAUAUGAUUUCAUGUGGACUCGAGUUGAUUGAAUCUGACAUAUGAUUGACCACCCGAUUUGAUGAGUUUUUCUUGAUCUGCAUCUUGUCGGAAUCAAUAACAGAAAAAUUAAACUAUAUGAUAACUGCACCUAGAAGUUCGAUACUUUUAUUUUGCUGGAUUAUCAUUAUGUACUGCUAAGUGUGAUGGAUGGAUUGUGGGACUCGUCGAGCAUCAUCUUAAUGAUUGAUGACCCUCGAAGACAAAAUUGAAAUAAUUUCAAUCCAUCAAAAAGAGUUUCGACUGAUAUUGUGAUAG